This 3013-nucleotide long non-coding RNA is filed under the name Olea europaea subsp. europaea. The record is from RNAcentral. Lineage: Eukaryota; Viridiplantae; Streptophyta; Magnoliopsida; Lamiales; Oleaceae.
AGACGAGCCAGCAACAUAGGUAGUGAUAUCAAUCACCCAAAAGAUUGCGCCCUAACUCACUCUCGUUCCAUUAGAACUCCCGUUUUCCUUCAUCGUAGUAGCAGGAUCUCUGUUAGGUAAUAUUUUAUUUUAUUUUAUUAUUAUUAUUUUUUUUUGGUGCUGGGAUCUCAUUUGUUUCUUAUUUUUGGAAGAACAAUGAAGAUCUUGAGUUAGCUCUGGAUAGAAUUUUUCUCUGUCGACGAAUCUGUGUUUCUGCCGGUUAUUUUAAAUCCUUAUAUAGAUAACUGAUUUGCCAUUUUCCUUUUACUCUACUUUUGUAAUUGAGGCUCGCCAUGGUUUCAACAAUGUAUUCACUUUGAAGUUUUGGUCAUUUUUUCUUCAUUGUUUCUCUCUAACUUUGCGGGCAUGUUGUUCCUUUUUUAUUCUAUCUCCCUAAUUAUCAACUUAUUUCUUUGAAACUUGAUUUCUCCUUCUACAGCAAAUAGAAUGGUUAGUCUUUAGGGACAUGAUAAAAGGGAUUAUCUUAACUAUAGUGAUUGGCCUAUUGUAGCUGCCAUAAUUGUAAUAUUACAUGUAUGUUUUCUUUGUAUCCAGUUUGGUAAUGAUAAUAGUUACUUAUGGAUCAAUAUGAUUUUUUUGCUAAGUUUUUAUUUAAGAUUUAUAUUUUGUUUUCUUUCCCUUUAAUGUUCUCAACAUUUAUAUAUGGAAAUAAUCACUUCAGCAAGUAUUGAUAGAAAGAAAGAGAUUAAUCGUUUAAGUGAAUGGCUGGUCGUAGAAAGUAGGUUCCUACUUGGCCAUAUAUAUGUGGGCUUUUAUGCUUGUUCUGUCUCUUGUCACGAUGACAUUGUUAUUGAAGGUAUCAUUGGUUGAUUUCAUCAUAUUGUCUAUAAAUUGAAUUCGAAUAUUAUGCUUUCGCUCAUUUAGGAUUGGCUUAAGAGCUCUUCUCUGUGGUGCUCAUAUUAUAACUGAUGGAAUGUUUGAAAGCAGCUGCUAAGUGGUAUGCCGUAACUAUAUUAUGCCUUCAAUCUAUGUUAUGAUGUUCCAUGUUACUUAUUAUCAAAGGUUCUAGAGGACUUCUUAUUCCUUUCCCUUAUACUUAAUGAACAUGAUAUCUUCAUGCAACUGCAAUAUUUGUUCAGUCAUUAAAUGUUAGCUUCAAACACGGCCAACUAUAUGGAUGUGAUUUCUCCUUUCUAAAAAAAUGGAACAGCGUAGUUGAGAUUUUAGUUCUUUAAGCAGGCAACUUACCAAAAUCUGGUUAUACCACCUCUGGCAAGUUGCUUUAUGAUGCCUAAUUAUAUGGAUUUUCAGCCAGUUUGGUACAAUUUCGUUUGCAUUAUAAAAAUUCGACCAAAUAUUCUCUAUGACCUCUAAAAAUGGAUGAAUAUAAUGAGGAAAAUAAAACAUUCAAAGAUUAGGAGAAUGUGAGUUAUAUGAAAACUGUAAAUCUUUGAAAUUUAUAGUUGACAUGACCCAUGUGUAAUGGAAUUUAGAAUUUAAGGGAAUAAGAGGAACUUUAGCUUUAUUAUUGAAUAUGUGAUGUGAGUAUAUAAUAUUCAAAUUACGAGAUCAAAGAAAUACACAUUUUUUCCUCGUCUUCCAGUUCCAUGUUCAACAGUUUUUGGGUAAAUUUGAGUCGAAGUCCUCAACCAUUGUUAAGCGUAACCUUUGGGUUCCCAACCUAUCUUUUAUAUCAUCAAACAGACUAUCAUAUCAUUGGUUGAUUCAAAGAAGAGACCACGUGAGAAGGGGAGGGGAUUCAUUAGAACUCUACAAAUAUAAAUCUCUUGAAAAUUGCUCUCUUCAACUUUUUUUAACACUAUCAUUUUAUCAAAUCCCACUAGGGCAAUGAGUGGCUCUACUUCUUUUAAGAAAGCUUUGGCUGCCAGAUUAUCUCUUUUCAACCAUUCCCUCUCCUAGCUGCAAGAUUUUCUUGAGAAGAGUUCUUCAAAGUACAAAACUUUGUUGGUAACAAAUAUAAUUUUGGCUAUUUUUUUAGCAAGAUCUUAAAGGUACUUUGGACAAAAAAUAUUAGCAUAUAAUCAAGUAUCACUUAUUAGUCAAGAUUUUGAAGGAUGCUAUCAAUAAAAUUCCUGACGAAUGAGAUAUUAUGUAUUUCUUUAUUACAAGUUUGAAUGCAAAGAAGACAAACAUGAUAGGCCUCCGAUCUAGUUCACCUAUGCCAGAAGAAAGAAGAACAAUGAUCCUAAUUGUUUUGCCAAGUCAGUUGAGUUAAUUAGAGAGGGGUAGAAAUGUAAUAGUCUAUGUUAGGAAAUGCAAAUAAAUGUGGAAGGUAAAGGGGUGGGGAAGGCAUUGAUGUACUGGUUUUUAGUUGGGAGUAGGGGGAGGGACGGGGCCUCUCUAAUAGCCCCGAGCUUGUAUCUAUUUUGUUUCUUCACUUGAUUCUAUUAAUAAACUACUAAUUAUUCUGUAACCUUGAGUGUUAGCUAUAGUUCAAUCAUUUGUUCCUAACAAAGCCAAGUUAUAUUAUUGUUUUUCUCUCCAGCAGGAGCUCUUCCUUCCAUCACAGUUGGCCUGCAGUAGCUGGGAUUGUAUCAAUUAGGGUAGAAGUGAGAAUGUUGAGGCCACAACGAUUGGGCCAGAUCGUGGAACUAGCCCAAUGGGUAGAGGAUCGCAACGAGUCCCUUAAGCGAGCUGAAGCUUCAGUCGGCCGAAUUAGAUCAAGAUCCUCUAAUUUGGCUCCAUCCUAUUCCAGCUCAUUUGGGGACAACCCAAACUAUACGAGUAUUUAUCCAAGAGGGGUGACUCGAGCUUCCCAAAUCAGCUAGCAAACUCUAAUUACAGCCCCCUGAUAAGUGCGCUUUUAAACACUUAUUCGGUCCACAAAGCAUGACUAAUUAUUGAUGAAAUUGAUUGGAUAUGGCUUAAUUCUAUGCAAUUUCUUUUGUAGGACCAUAUUGAUGGAUAAUGAAACUCAAGAGAAAAGAUACGAAAAAGGGGCCAAAACGAAAGAAAUCGAAAGUUCAGGGACCAAAGUGUAAAUAUCCAAAAG